AGACAGACAGACAGACACGCAGACAGGCAGACAGACAGGCAGACAGGGCAGACACACAGACAGGCAGACACGCAGGCAGGUAGACACGCAGAGGCAGACACGCAGACAGGCAGACACGCAGGCAGGUAGACACGCAGACAGGUAGACACGCAUACUGACGGACACACAGACAGACAGGCAGACAGGUAGACAGCCGGACACGCGGCAGGUAGACAGGCAGACACGCAGACAGGUAGACAGGCAGACAGCUGGACAUGCGGACAGGUAGACAGGCAGACAGUUAGAGAGGUAGACAGGCAGACACGCAGACAGGUAGACAGGCAGACACGCAGACAAGCAGACACGCAGACAGGUAGACAGGCAGACAGCCGGACACGCGGACAGGUAGACAGGCGGGCACGGAGACUGACGGACACGCAGACACACAGACAGGCCUCCAGAGUGGCGCCGUGGUCUAAGGCACUGCAUCACAGUGCUAGCUGUGUCACUAGAGAUUCUGGGUUCCAGUCCAGGCUCUGUUGCAGCUGGCCGGCAGGGAUGUCCUUGUUCCAUAGCGCACUAGCGACUCCUGGGUGCAGUGCAUGGUCGCCAGGUGUACAUUGUUUCCUCCAACACAUUGGUGCGGCUGGCUUCCGGGUUAAGUGGGCAUUGUGUCAAGAAGCAGUGCGGCUUGGUUGGGUUGUGUUUCGGAGGACGCACGGCUCUCGACCUUCACCUCACCCGAGUCCGUAUGGGAGUUGCAGCGAUGAGACAAGACUGUAACUACCAAUUGGAUACCACGAAAAGGGGGUAAAAAAUAUAUAUGUUAAAAGGCAGGCAGAUAGAUGGACAGGCAGGCGGGCAGGCAGGUAGACAUUCAUCAUAUAUGGCUUCCUCUAUGUAUUAACUGCAUGUUUCUAUAGCAGACCACAGACAGACAGGCAGGCAGACAGACAGGCAGACAGAUAGGCAGACAGACAGACAGGCAGACAGAUAGGCAGACAGAUAGGCAGAUAGAUGGAUGGACAGAUGGAGAGGAAGAUAUGCAGACAGGCAGAUAAACGAACAGACAGACGGACGGACGGGCAGGCAGGCAGAUAGAUGGACAGACAGAUAGACAGGCAGACAGGCAGAUAUGCAGACAGACAGGAAAAAUUUCAGGCAGACAGACAGAGACAGACAGACAGAUUCUUCUUGGACCUCGCUCAUCAACAAACUGUUUUCUGAGAUACUGAAUUUGGCGCGCUUGGCACAUAGUUUUGCCCAUUCUAACAUUCAGUUGAACAGUAACUGAAUGCCUCGAUGCCUGCUUUAUAUAGCAAGACACAGCCACACAACUCACUGUCUGUAACCCAGUUUUGUGAAAUGGGCGGCGGACCUAAUAAACUGGCCGGAGAGUGUAUAUCAUCGAUACAUGAAUAUAACAGUAUAUAUAGCAUGUUAACAUGGGGAUAUAUACAGUAUCAUCUAUACAUGAAGAUAACAGUAUACAGUAUAUGGGUCGAGUGUUGGUUUCUUGAGGAGAGGAGCGACUCGGGCCAUCUUGAAGUCAGUGGUCAGGGAUGAGUUGAUGAGUGAAGUGAGGAAGGGGAGGUCUCCAGAGAUGGUGUGGAGAAGGGAGGAAGGGUUGAGCAGGCAGGAUGUCGGGCGGACGGACAUCACUAGUCGCAGGAUUUUAUCUGGAGAGAGAGGGGAGAAAGAGGCCAAAGCGUAAGGUAGUUCUGUGUGAGUGGGAUCAGUGGACUCAAUAGGCUGAGUGAAUGAGGAGCGGCUGGCGUCAACCUAUUCCCUAUAGUGAGCACUAUUACAACACUAUAGUCAAUUACUUUGGGCCAAAGUCUCCCAAAGCUGUCUAAUACAUCUGGUCUAAAGUAGUGCACUAUGAAGGGAGUAGGGUUCCAUAGGACUCUGGUCUAAAGUAGUGCACUAUGAAGGGAGUAGGGUUCCAUAAGACUCUGGUCUAUAGUAGUGCACUAUGAAGGGAACAGGGCUCUAGUCUAUAGUAGUGCACUAUGAAGGGAACAGUGCUCUGGUCUAAAGUAGUGCACUAUGAAGGGAACAGGGCUCUGGUCUAUAGUAGUGCACUAUGAAGGGAACAGGGCUCUGGUCUAUAGUAGUGCACUAUGAAGGGAACAGGGCUCUGGUCUAUAGUAGUGUACUAUGACAGGGAACAGGGCUCUGGUCUAAAGUAGUGCACUAUGAAGGGAACAGUGCUCUGGUCUAUAGUAGUGCACUAUGAAGGGAACAGGGCUCUGGUCUAAAGUAGUGCACUAUGAAGGGAACAGGGCUCUGGUCUAUAGUAGUGUACUAUGAAGGGAACAGGGCUCUGUAGAGGAGUUUGGUGCCAUUUUAGAUUGGCCCUGUGUGUAUGCAACAUGAUAUAUCUAAUGAUGUUAGAUUAUCUAUAUUAGUGUAAUUUAUGUUAUUUUAUCUAUAUUAAUGUAAAUUAUACUGUAUGAUGUAAAUGUCUCUGAAAAUAAACUGCCUGAUCCUAAAAGAACCAAUAAAAACCCAGAUGACAAAGCUCUCUGUCUCUCUAGAGCUCUAUGUAGAAUACCAGACCCAACCAUAAACCUCUAGACCAGGAGGAGACAAUCCUGUAGAGUACCAGACCUAACCAUAACCCUGUAGAGUACCAGACCUAACCAUAACCCUCUAGACCAGGAGGCGACAACCCUGUAGAGUACCAGACCUAACCAUAAACCUCUAGACCAGGAGGAGACAAUCCUGUAGAGUACCAGACCUAACCAUAACCCUGUAGAGUACCAGACCUAACCAUAACCCUGUAGAGUACCAGACCUAACCAUAACCCUGUAGAGUACCAGGCCUAACCAUAACCCUGUAGAGUACCAGGCCUAACCAUAACCCUCUAGACCAGGAGGAGACAAUCAUGUAGAGUACCAGGCCUAACCAUAACCCUCUAGACCAGGAGGAGACAACCCUGUAGAGCACCAGACCUAACCAUAAACCUCUAGACCAGGAGGAGACAAACCUGUAGAGUACCAGACCUAACCAUAACCCUGUAGAGUACCAGACCUAACCAUAACCCUAACCAUAACCCUGUAGAGUACCAGACCUAACCAUAACCCUAACCAUAACCC
This is a long non-coding RNA of Oncorhynchus tshawytscha (Chinook salmon), 3080 nucleotides long. NCBI's taxonomy places the organism in Eukaryota, Metazoa, Chordata, Actinopteri, Salmoniformes, Salmonidae. The record is from Ensembl.